GGGUUUUCCGUUAGUGGGUUCUCGUGCUUCUCAUUUUUUGGCGAGGAAUUUUGAUGACAAGAGUAAAAAGUUUCCAUCUUUCAAUGAAAUUGAAAGGUUUAGUGUUAGUAUCAGGUGUUCAAAGUUUAAGCCCUACCCAAGGAGAAUUCGCUGAGUAAGAGUGAAUUGAUUGGCUGUGAUGAGAGAACAAGCCCAAACGAGAUCAGAAAAGAGAUAGAACGAUGCUAUGAACUCAUAGAGAGACUUGGAAGGGGA
Molecule: unclassified non-coding RNA, 255 nt
Filed under: Hevea brasiliensis (rubber tree)
Lineage: Eukaryota; Viridiplantae; Streptophyta; Magnoliopsida; Malpighiales; Euphorbiaceae
Source: RNAcentral